This 492-nucleotide ribosomal RNA is filed under the name uncultured bacterium. RNAcentral describes it as "partial 16S ribosomal RNA". It matches the Rfam family "Bacterial small subunit ribosomal RNA", at positions 29 to 507 of the family's 1533-position model. The record is from RNAcentral.
AGUGAACGCUGGCGGUAGGCCUAACACAUGCAAGUCGAACGGCAGCACAGUAAGAGCUUGCUCUUACGGGUGGCGAGUGGCGGACGGGUGAGGAAUACAUCGGAAUCUACUUUUUCGUGGGGGAUAACGUAGGGAAACUUACGCUAAUACCGCAUACGACCUACGGGUGAAAGCAGGGGAUCUUCGGACCUUGCGCGAUUGAAUGAGCCGAUGUCGGAUUAGCUAGUUGGCGGGGUAAAGGCCCACCAAGGCGACGAUCCGUAGCUGGUCUGAGAGGAUGAUCAGCCACACUGGAACUGAGACACGGUCCAGACUCCUACGGGAGGCAGCAGUGGGGAAUAUUGGACAAUGGGCGCAAGCCUGGUCCAGCCAUCCCGCGUGGGUGAAGAAGGCCUUCGGGUUGUAAAGCCCUUUUGUUGGGAAAGAAAAGCAGCAGGUUAAUACCCCGCUGUUCUGACGGUACCCAAAGAAUAAGCACCGGCUAACUUCGUG